AUGAACGCUGGCGGCGUGCCUAAUACAUGCAAGUCGAGCGAACAGAUGAGGAGCUUGCUCCUCUGACGUUAGCGGCGGACGGGUGAGUAACACGUGGAUAACCUACCUAUAAGACUGGGAUAACUUCGGGAAACCGGAGCUAAUACCGGAUAAUAUAUUGAACCGCAUGGUUCAAUAGUGAAAGACGGUUUUGCUGUCACUUAUAGAUGGAUCCGCGCCGCAUUAGCUAGUUGGUAAGGUAACGGCUUACCAAGGCAACGAUGCGUAGCCGACCUGAGAGGGUGAUCGGCCACACGGGAACUGAGACACGGUCCAGACUCCUACGGGAGGCAGCAGUAGGGAAUCUUCCGCAAUGGGCGAAAGCUUGACGGAGCAACGCCGCGUGAGUGAUGAAGGUCUUCGGAUCGUAAAACUCUGUUAUUAGGGAAGAACAAAUGUGUAAGUAACUAUGCACGUCUUGACGGUACCUAAUCAGAAAGCCACGGCUAACUACGUG
Molecule: ribosomal RNA, 496 nt
Filed under: uncultured bacterium
Lineage: Bacteria
Description: partial 16S ribosomal RNA
Rfam family: Bacterial small subunit ribosomal RNA
Source: RNAcentral